UACGGAAGGCAGCAGUGGGGAAUAUUGGACAAUGGGCGAAAGCCUGAUCCAGCCAUGCCGCAUGAGUGAAGAAGGCCUUCGGGUUGUAAAGCUCUUUUAGUGAGAAAGAUAAUGACGGUACUCACAGAAGAAGUCCUGGCUAACUCCGUGCCAGCGGCCGCGGUAAUACGGAGAGGGCUAGCGUUAUUCGGAAUUAUUGGGCGUAAAGAGCGCGUAGGCUGAUUAGUAAGUUAAAAGUGAAAUCCCAAAGCUUAACUUUGGAAUUGCUUUUUAAAACUGCUAGUCUAGAGAUUUGAAAGAGGAUAGAGGAAUUCCUAGUGUAGAGGUGAAAUUCGUAAAUAUUAGGAGGAACACCAGUGGCGAAGGCGUCUAUCUGGUUCAAAUCUGACGCUGAGGCGCGAAGGGCGUGGGGAGCAAACAGGGAUUAGAUACC
This 433-nucleotide ribosomal RNA is filed under the name uncultured bacterium. RNAcentral describes it as "bacterial SSU rRNA". It matches the Rfam family "Bacterial small subunit ribosomal RNA", at positions 340 to 786 of the family's 1533-position model. The record is from RNAcentral.